This 84-nucleotide transfer RNA is filed under the name Caudoviricetes sp. Its description in RNAcentral is "tRNA-Leu". It matches the Rfam family "tRNA". Rfam says of the family: Transfer RNA (tRNA) molecules are approximately 80 nucleotides in length. The record is from RNAcentral. Lineage: Duplodnaviria; Heunggongvirae; Uroviricota; Caudoviricetes.
GCGGGUAUGGUGGAAUUGGUAGAUACGCCGGUCUUAGAAGCCGGUGCACUAUGCAUGGGGGUUCGAGUCCCUCUACCCGCACCA